AGCGAACGCUGGCGGCGUGGAUAAGACAUGCAAGUCGAACGGGAACUGGCGGGUAGCAAUAUUCGUCAGUUCUAGUGGCGAACGGGUGCGUAACACGUAGCUCACCUACCUCGAAGUGGGGGAUAGUCCCGCGAAAGCGGGGUUAAUACCGCAUGUGGUCGAGAGACUAAAACUGGGGAUCGCAAGACCUGGUGCUUCGAGAUGGGGCUGCGGCCUAUCAGGUAGUUGGCGGGGUAAUGGCCCACCAAGCCUAAGACGGGUAGCUGGUCUGAGAGGACGACCAGCCACACUGGAACUGAGACACGGUCCAGACACCUACGGGAGGCUG
This 328-nucleotide ribosomal RNA is filed under the name uncultured Verrucomicrobiota bacterium. RNAcentral describes it as "bacterial SSU rRNA". It matches the Rfam family "Bacterial small subunit ribosomal RNA", at positions 29 to 351 of the family's 1533-position model. Lineage: Bacteria; Pseudomonadati; Verrucomicrobiota. The record is from RNAcentral.